Molecule: unclassified non-coding RNA, 254 nt
Filed under: Capnodiales sp.
Lineage: Eukaryota; Fungi; Ascomycota; Dothideomycetes; Capnodiales
Description: partial contains 5.8S ribosomal RNA, internal transcribed spacer 2, and large subunit ribosomal RNA
Source: RNAcentral
CGCACAUUGCGCCCCUUGGUAUUCCGGGGGGCAUGCCUGUUCGAGCGUCAUUACACCACUCAAGCCUGGCUUGGUAUUGGGCGUCCCGCGGUUUCCUGCAGCCGCGCGCCCUAAUGUCUUCGGCUGAGCCGUCCGUCUCUAAGCGUUGUGGUCUUUACAGAUUUCGCUUGCGAGGCCGGGCCGGUUCGAUCGCCGUUAAACCCCCCUCUCUAAAGGUUGACCUCGGAUCAGGUAGGGAUACCCGCUGAACUUAA